UUCAGGGGUAGGGGAGCGUUGUAUACAGCAUUGAAGGUGUACCGUAAGGAGCGCUGGAGCGUAUACAAGUGAGAAUGCCGGUAUGAGUAACGAAAAGAUCAGUGAGAAUCUGAUCCGCCGAAAGCCCAAGGUUUCCUGAGGAAGGCUCGUCCGCUCAGGGUAAGUCGGGACCUAAGGCGAGGCCGAAAGGCGUAGUCGAAGGACAACAGGUUGAAAUUCCUGUACCACCAUAAACCGUUAUGAACGAUGGGGGGACGCAGGAGGGUAGUGACGCGGACUGAUGGAUGUCCGUCCAAGCAGUGAGGCUGAUGUGUAGGCAAAUCCGCACAUCGUAAGGCUGGGCUGUGAUGGGGAGUGAAAAUUACAGUAGCGAAGGUCAUGAUCUCACACUGCCAAGAAAAGCCUCUAGUCAGGUGAAGGUGCCCGUACCGCAAACCGACACAGGUAGGCGAGAAGAGAAUUCUAAGGCGCGCGGAAGAACUCUCGUUAAGGAACUCGGCAAAAUGACCCCGUAACUUCGGGAGAAGGGGUGCCUCGGUAGGGUGAAUAGCCCGAGGGGGCCGCAGUGAAAAGGCCCAAGCGACUGUUUAGCAAAAACACAGGUCUGUGCGAAGCCGUAAGGCGAAGUAUACGGGCUGACGCCUGCCCGGUGCUGGAAGGUUAAGGGGAGCGGUUAGGAGCAAUCCGAAGCUGUGAACCGAAGCCCCAGUAAACGGCGGCCGUAACUAUAACGGUCCUAAGGUAGCGAAAUUCCUUGUCAGGUAAAUUCUGACCCGCACGAAUGGCGUAACGACUUGGGCGCUGUCUCAACGAGAGAUCCGGUGAAAUUUUAAUACCUGUGAAGAUGCAGGUUACCCGCGACAAGACGGAAAGACCCCAUGGAGCUUUACUGCAGCUUGAUAUUGAAUUUGGGUACGAUCUGUACAGGAUAGGUGGGAGCCUAGGAAACCUGAGCGCCAGCUUGGGUGGAGGCGCCGUUGGGAUACCACCCUGAUCGUAUCUAGGUUCUAACCUGGUGCCCUUAUCGGGUACAGGGACCGUGUCAGGUGGGCAGUUUGACUGGGGCGGUCGCCUCCUAAAGAGUAACGGAGGCGCCCCAAGGUUCCCUCAGAAUGGUUGGAAAUCAUUCGAAGAGUGCAAAGGCAUAAGGGAGCUUGACUGCGAGACCCACAAGUCGAGCAGGGACGAAAGUCGGGCUUAGUGAUCCGGUGGUACCGCAUGGAAGGGCCAUCGCUCAACGGAUAAAAGCUACCCUGGGGAUAACAGGCUUAUCUCCCCCAAGAGUCCACAUCGACGGGGAGGUUUGGCACCUCGAUGUCGGCUCAUCGCAUCCUGGGGCUGAAGUAGGUCCCAAGGGUUGGGCUGUUCGCCCAUUAAAGCGGUACGCGAGCUGGGUUCAGAACGUCGUGAGACAGUUCGGUCCCUAUCUGUCGUGGGCGUAGGAAAUUUGAGAGGAGCUGUCCUUAGUACGAGAGGACCGGGAUGGACGUACCGCUGGUGCACCAGUUGUUCCGCCAGGAGCACGGCUGGGUAGCUACGUACGGAAGGGAUAAGCGCUGAAAGCAUCUAAGCGUGAAGCCCCCCUCAAGAUGAGAUUUCCCAAUUAGUAAGACCCCUUGAAGACGACGAGGUAGAUAGGUUGGAGGUGGAAGUGCAGCAAUGCAUGGAGCUGACCAAUACUAAUCGGUCGAGGGCUUAUCCU
RNAcentral lists this ribosomal RNA (1702 nucleotides) under Paenibacillus campinasensis. Its description in RNAcentral is "bacterial LSU rRNA". It matches the Rfam family "Bacterial large subunit ribosomal RNA", at positions 1221 to 2925 of the family's 2925-position model. The record is from RNAcentral. Lineage: Bacteria; Bacillati; Bacillota; Bacilli; Caryophanales; Paenibacillaceae.